GUCUCAGUAGCUCAAUUGGAUAGAGCAUCCCCCUCCUAAGGGGAAGGUUGGCAGUUCGAGCCUGCCCUGGGACACCA
This 77-nucleotide transfer RNA is filed under the name Pseudomonas fontis. RNAcentral describes it as "tRNA-Arg". It matches the Rfam family "tRNA". From Rfam's summary of the family: Transfer RNA (tRNA) molecules are approximately 80 nucleotides in length. Their secondary structure includes four short double-helical elements and three loops (D, anti-codon, and T loops). Lineage: Bacteria; Pseudomonadati; Pseudomonadota; Gammaproteobacteria; Pseudomonadales; Pseudomonadaceae. The record is from RNAcentral.